This 276-nucleotide ribosomal RNA is filed under the name Triticum aestivum (bread wheat). RNAcentral describes it as "partial small subunit ribosomal RNA". Lineage: Eukaryota; Viridiplantae; Streptophyta; Magnoliopsida; Poales; Poaceae. The record is from RNAcentral.
AUGAUGCGGUGGAAUCAACAACACAGGAGAAGGACAGAGACACCAUGGCAGGGUGGAGAACCCGGGCAAAAUAGAACAAAUAGAUUGUUCCCGUGCGAUCUCCACCCCGCAAACACCACCAAAUAUACUUUUUAUUGUCUUGUGGCCUGCCAAGCGAGCGCACCCGACAUGGCAAAGGCCGUCCUACCCUACCAAUGUAUUGGUACAUCAAGUUGUACAAUACGCACGUCCUCGCAUGCGCAUCAUCAGCUUACCAACACAAUUACCUUUCUGUGA